UAAAAAUUUAUUUAUUUUAGGUAGUAACAGAUUUCUUGAAACCUAAAGAAUUUGGCGGUAUUUUAAAUAAUUAGAGGAACCUGUUGAAUAAAUGAUAAUACACAAUAUAUCUUACCUUAAUUAAGUUUGUAUACCGUUGUUUAGAUUAUGUUUAUAAAUUAUGAUCAAAAUUAAUUAAUUUUUAUAAAUCAAAUCAAGGUGCAGCAUAUAAAGGUUUUAAUGGGUUACAAUAUAUUUAUAUAUACGAAUAAAUUAUGAAAAAUAUUUUUAAAGGUGGAUUUAAAAGUAAUUUAAAAUUAAAAUGUUUAAAUGAAUAAAGAUUUAAAAUAUGC
RNAcentral lists this ribosomal RNA (332 nucleotides) under Brachistosternus montanus. Its description in RNAcentral is "partial 12S small subunit ribosomal RNA". Lineage: Eukaryota; Metazoa; Arthropoda; Arachnida; Scorpiones; Bothriuridae. The record is from RNAcentral.